Molecule: non-coding RNA, 1927 nt
Organism: Pelodiscus sinensis (Chinese soft-shelled turtle)
Lineage: Eukaryota; Metazoa; Chordata; Testudines; Trionychidae
Source: RefSeq, a predicted model, not a curated record
GGGUAGACGGGUUACGGAGGGAGUGACCCCCCGUCUACCGCGUCGGGGCGCGAGCAAACCCCAACGCUUAGGGCCCCGGGUCCCCCACCCUCACCCCCGAGGAGCAUUCAAUCCUGGGCAGCGCCAGCUUAGGCGUGCAUUAGAACCAGGUGACAAUCAAACAAAAGGAGACUGGACUGUGGGCUCAGGCCCCACCCCGCAGGAACAGGUGACAACUGCAGGGUUUGCUAACCCCCCCCCCCCUCCUGGGAGGGGGUGAUCGUACUCAAUUGCCACCCACCAGAACCUACACACCACAAUGACUUGGUGUCUAAGAGACCCUAAGCAUUCCUCAUUUUUGCUAACACAAAGUAACACAGCUACCACUCUGAAACCUAUUAUGUUAUUUAUGUGCAAUACUGAAUGAUUACUGCUGUAAUAACUUGGUUGUCUGUCAACAGGUAGAAGCCAUCUCAGCAGUAGUUGCCACGGAGAUUGUUAGGCAGACAAAGAGAACUGAAAUCGAAAGUAAAUUUUAACAAGAUUUCAUACAUAGCAUGAGCAGAGCACCUUCUUAAGUCAGACAGUCCAAAUAACUAUGAAUUUUAAAAGACAAUGCUAGGUUUCAUGUGGAAUGCCUACAGUAAUAGUAAUCCAUGUAAAGAAAUUCAGAAAGACCGUGUAAUCUACUUGUCAUAGUUUGCUUAUCUGCCAACUUUAAUUUUGGUCCUAAUUUUUUAAAAAUAAUUACAGAGCAGAUUUCUUCAACAUGAUAUAAUAUUACUUCUUUACAACGCAACAAAUCAUUGGGUUCUUGCGGUAAGAUGCUUUCUAUUUUACUUCUGGACUAUGGUGAAUGAAAGUGGUAUUAUGUAAGAGGUUGGUAACGCAGCUGGGUGGCAGUGGUAUAAUGGCCUCUGCUGUGUAUUUUCGGUAAGUUCAGUGCAUGCUAAUGAAAGUGGAAUGUGAGUGUCGCUAUUCCGAGAGCUGUGUUUCUUAAACACCACAAGUUAAUGUGAAAUUGUAGCAAACCUUACAUGAACAAGUGCAGUUAGUAACUGUUUAAUCAUUGAAUUCACAAUAUGCUUUUCUACUUUGUGUUAGUGAUUACAAACAAUAAUAUAUGAAUGUUUGGGUUUUUUUGGCUAAGUCAGUAUGAAAUAGCUUAAAUUCUCACAUUAUCAACCUAACUUGUACAUGUAAUUAAACUUACAGAUAGCAUUGAUGGAGACACAAGAACUGUUAAUAAUUGAUCCAUUGUGUGAAGAGAUGAGCUAUGAAAGAAAAUUUCUUAGGAACUGGAGAAACUUCAUCAAAGGAGUAAAGGGCAACUCAACAUCAAAUUGGAAGAGUCAAAUUGUUAGGCAUAAUAGACAAAUUGAUGGCCACAACUGUGGACUACUCAUCUUUAAGAAAGCAUAGAAGAUUUCUGCAUAUAUUGCAAUCGGGUCAAUUGUGAAAAGCAAAGUGAGGAAUGCACGAUGGAAAGAUGUUACAGAAUUGUAUCAAACAUGUCAAUCUUUUUAAGAUUAUGGAAUUUGUUGAAAAUUACACAACAGUAAACAUUUCCAUCAUGGCUGUAGUACAGAGCUGUCACUUAUCAAAGGUCCAGUGUGAUUCCUGCAAGAGGUGGGCACAUAUGCCGUGCAUUCCAGAAGGAACCACUGAAGAAAUCAUUAAUGAUAAGACAGAAUACAAGUGCCAAAAAUGUUCAUAGUGCAGUUCUUCUUCAGAAAGUUGACAAGAAGAGUAAAUAGAUUUAGAUACCCAUGAAAUAAUAAAUUUUUAAAAAUUUGAAAAAUAGUUUUCAGUAUUUGGGUCCUUGUGUAUAAUGAAAAAUAAAAGGCAAAACACCAACAUCCCCUGAGUCCAUUAUCAAGGAGGGAACAAAGUGUGAGUGUUUAGGACUACGGAACCCCAUCCCUCAGCAUUAGAUAUCCAUGGACCA